AGGGUCCCCCUGGUGGCCCAGUGCUCCUAGGGCUGUGCCAGGGACCCAGGAAGAUGCAGUGGGAAGAUGCAGGCAGGAGGGCGUUCUAGAAUCCUUGGAGCAGUGACUGGGGCUUUGUGCAGGAGUGUUCCUUCUCUUUUCCACGGAUCCUAACAAAACGUCUGAGCACUAAAUCUGAAACUCUUUCUCUAGUAAAGCCACGUGGUGCCUGCGUCUAGCACCCACGAGGGAAGAGCCGGAAACAUUAUUCCCACGCCAGCCCUGCGGGCUUCUGGCUACUUGUGCUCGGAUGUAAUGUUCACAUUGCGUUUUCUGUUCCUGCCACAUUUAACACUUCAGCCUGGAUGCAGCUUUAUCACUGCUUUGGGAAUUUUCUACAACUUAUUUAUGAGUAUUAAAAUUCUGGAGUCUUCCCCCACCAGGAUGGCAGCUCCAGAAGAAGCCUGCAUGGUAGUCCAGGAACCUCCAGGGCUGGCCGCUGGAUGUACCCAGGCUGUUUUGAAAUGUGCUAACAGGGCCCAGCUUAGCCAGCACUGGACUCAGGGAGGCGGGAGGCAAGGUCACUGCGGGUCACACUCGCCACGGAAGAAGCGGGCCUGGGCGGAAGGGAGCUGAGUGGUGGCCAUCAGCAUCUCAGGUGUGGGGGGCAGUGCAACUGGGAUCCAGCGUGUUCCGAGGCCUGUUGGCCUUUCCCAGGUGUUUGCUGAGACCCACCUGUGUGUUUUGCGCUUCCUGAUCCAGGGGUUGGAGCUGGCAGGGGUGGUGACAGAGGCAGGAGGAGGGUAAAGCAGGCCCUGCUCUGCCAUAGUGCAGGGUAGAGAGAAAGGGAUGCAGCGACCAUUAUAGGAGGAUGUUUGACAAAUGGCUGAACUCAGAAUGAGCUCUGAACAAGGAAUGGCGAGGUCUUUGGGGGCUGAGGUAGUGAAGGCGAUCUUUUACUCUGGGUGGUGGUUGCAUUGAGCUGCAGGCUUCCGCAGGUUUGGCAAACAGGAGGGAGGGACAGCCAGGGGUUACUAGUUCUGUCCUUGGGUCUGUCCCUUUAGGGGUUUUGCUGUGUCCUGGGCUCCUUUCCCACCCAGGACCCCCGCUGUGUGGUUUGGACUUCUUUGGACCCAUGGUAUUAAAUUUAAUACCAUGGACCCCCAGUGUCCCUGAAGUAGGGUGGCUCGGAAAUUGCCUCUUCUUCCUUUAGGGCUGUCACAGGAUUUUGACAGGAUCCAGCGGGCAUGGGGUAGCCAGUAAGAGUUCCCCUGUCUCUGAAGCACUGGAAACAAGGGCCCCAUAGUCAGAUGAAUGGCCCCCUCCUUCCCUGUGGUGACCAGUCGGCUGGGAAUCCAAAGAAAAUUCAAGGAUCCCCACCCCUGGGGAAAAGAGCGGGGGUCAGCUCAUUAAUAAUUGCCCUCAUUAUUCUAAUGCAGGCCUGCAGUGGCCAGCAUUGCCCUAGAGAAGGCUUAUUUCAGUCACUCAGCAGAUAACAAGGCAUCUGUUAGAAACUUAUUUAUUCCUUGCCUGUUUACUCUUCAUCUGGUGAAUUUGUAUCAAAUGUCUGCUUUCUGCUAGGCCCUAGUGCUCCAGCCUAGAGCAGGGGAUGGCAGACUUUUUCUGUAGAGUAAAUAUUUUAGGCUUUGAGGGCCAUGUUGUCUCUGUUGCAGCUACCCAACUCUUGUAAGGCCAAAGCAACCGUAAGCAAUACAUAAGCCCAUGGGUGUAGCUUCGUUCCAGUACAACUUUAUUGACAGGCAUUGGGCUAGAUUGGCCCAGAGGCCACAGAUAGCUGCUCCCCGCCCCCGGACUGGAAACACAGAAUUAAACAAAAGUAGACAUGGUCUCUGUCUGUAUGGAGCUUACACUGUAGGCAAGGAAGACAGGAAUUAAUCAUAUAAUCGCAAACAUAAAUUAUAAUUAGAACACGGGUGCUUGAAGGAGAGAGAAGCUCUCAUAGCUCUAGAAAUGGGGGUGUGAUAUAGUCUCAGGUCAAGUCAGGCUUCCCUCAAGAGUUGAUGCCUGAGUUGGGCUCUGAAUCAGCAUUAACCAGGUGAAGAGAGGGAGGAAACAGUGCAUGGAAGGGCCCUGUGACAGGAGUAUGGAACAUUCUGGAAACUGAAAAAAGGCCAGUGUGGAGGAGUGUAGAAGAGGACAGAGAGGAGGAGUAAGAUGAGGCAGGAUGGGAAGUAGUAAUCAGUCCACGCACAGCCUUGGGGGGCGGCUUAAAGCAGGGGAGUAACAGGAUCCGAUUUGCAUUUUGAGGAAAACCUCUUUGGCUGCAACAUGAGAACAGAUCGGAGAAAAGCAAGUGAAGAUUCAGGGGAACCGAGUGAAAGGACCGUUGCGAGAGAGAGAAGUGGCAAUGGGGGUAAAGAGAAGUAGAUGAAGAUAAAGAUUUCAGAAGGGGUGUUGAUGGUGUGGGGAUGGAGGGAGAGGCUCCUAGGUGUCAGGUUUGUACAGUCGGAUGGUUAGCGGUGCUGUCUGUCUACUGAGACCAGAGCACUGGGAAAGUCCCUCAUGCUUUGUUUUGUUUGGGUCAGAGGAAGGGGCCUGGCAGGUUGAGUUGCCAUUGAGACAUCAAAUUAGAGAUGUCGGAUAAGCAGGUGAGAUGUACAGAUCUGGAGCUCAGAAGAAAGGUAGGGGCUGGAAAUCAUAUGUUUUACGGAAUCAUCAGCACAUGGAGGGUAAUCGACGCCCUGAGCAUGGGUUAGACAAGCUGGGGCAAGAGAAGAGAGUAAAGC
This 2726-nucleotide long non-coding RNA is filed under the name Phocoena sinus (vaquita). RNAcentral's name for it is "lncRNA (ENSPSNG00000006309.1)". The record is from RNAcentral. Lineage: Eukaryota; Metazoa; Chordata; Mammalia; Artiodactyla; Phocoenidae.